UACGUAGGGUGCAAGCGUUAAUCGGAAUUACUGGGCGUAAAGCGUGCGCAGGCGGUGAUGUAAGACAGAUGUGAAGUCCCCGGGCUCAACCUGGGAACUGCAUUUGUGACUGCAUCGCUGGAGUGCGGCAGAGGGGGAUGGAAUUCCGCGUGUAGCAGUGAAAUGCGUAGAUAUGCGGAGGAACACCGAUGGCGAAGGCAAUCCCCUGGGCCUGCACUGACGCUCAGGCACGAAAGCGUGGGGAGCAAACAGG
RNAcentral lists this ribosomal RNA (253 nucleotides) under uncultured bacterium. RNAcentral's name for it is "partial 16S ribosomal RNA". It matches the Rfam family "Bacterial small subunit ribosomal RNA", at positions 524 to 776 of the family's 1533-position model. The record is from RNAcentral.